RNAcentral lists this ribosomal RNA (467 nucleotides) under uncultured bacterium. RNAcentral describes it as "partial 16S ribosomal RNA". It matches the Rfam family "Bacterial small subunit ribosomal RNA", at positions 28 to 506 of the family's 1533-position model. The record is from RNAcentral.
GACGAACGCUGGCGGCGUGCUUAACACAUGCAAGUCGAACGGAAAGGCCCUGCUUUUGUUGGGUGCUCGAGUGGCGAACGGGUGAGUAACACGUGAGUAACCUGCCCUUGACUUUGGGAUAACUUCAGGAAACUGGGGCUAAUACCGGAUAGGAGCUCCUGCUGCAUGGUGGGGGUUGGAAAGUUUUGGCGGGUGGGGAUGGAGUCGCGGCUUAUCAGCUUUUUGGUGGGGUAGUGGCUUACCCAGGCUUUGACGGGUAUCCGGCCUGAGAGGGUGACCGGCCAAAUUGCGAACGGGAUACGGCCCAGACGCAUCCGGGAGGAAGGAGUGGAGAAUAUUGCACAAAGGGCGGGAGCCGGAAGCAGCAACGCCGCGUGCGAGAUGACGGCCUUCGGGUUGUAAACCGCUUUCGCCUGAGACGAAGCGUGAGGGACGGAAAUGAGUAGAGAAGCACCGGCUAACUACGU